Molecule: long non-coding RNA, 2602 nt
Organism: Oncorhynchus tshawytscha (Chinook salmon)
Lineage: Eukaryota; Metazoa; Chordata; Actinopteri; Salmoniformes; Salmonidae
Source: Ensembl
UAUUCAGCAUAGGUGAUAUAACUAUAUAUUCAGCAUAGGUGAUAUAAAUAAUAUAUUCAGCAUAGGUAAUAUAACUAAUAUAUUCAGCAUAGGUAAUAUAACUAUAUAUUCAGCAUAGGUAAUAUAACUAUAUAUUCAGCAUAGGUAAUAUAACUAUAUAUUCAGCAUAGGGGAUAUGACUAAUAUAUUCAGCAUAGGGGAUAUAACUAAUAUAUUCAGCAUAGGGGAUAUAACUAAUAUAUUCAGCAUAGGGGAUAUAACUAAUAUAUUCAGCAUAGGGGAUAUAACUAAUAUAUUCAGCAUAGGGGAUAUAACUAAUAUAUUCAGCAUAGGUAAUAUAACUAAUAUAUUCAGUAUAGGUGAUAUAACUAAUAUAUUCAGCAUAGGGGAUAUAACUAAUAUAUUCAGCAUAGGGGAUAUAACUAAUAUAUUCAGCAUAGGGGAUAUAACUAAUUUAUUCAGCAUAGGGGAUAUAACUAAUAUAUUCAGCAUAGGUAAUAUAACUAUAUAUUCAGCAUAGGUAAUAUAACUGGUAAUAUAACUAUAUAUUCAGCAUAGGUAAUAUAACUAUAUAUUCAGCAUAGGGGAUAUGACUAAUAUAUUCAGCAUAGGGGAUAUAACUAAUAUAUUCAGCAUAGGUAAUAUAACUAAUAUAUUCAGUAUAGGUGAUAUAACUAAUAUAUUCAGCAUAGGGGAUAUAACUAAUAUUUUCAGCAUAGGGGAUAUAACUAAUAUAUUCAGCAUAGGUGAUAUAACUAAUAUAUUCAGCAUAGGUAAAAUAACUAUUUAUUCAGCAUAUGUGAUAUAACUAUAUAUUCAGCAUAGGGGAUAUAACUAUAUAUUCAGCAUAGGUGACGUAACUAAUAUAUUCAGUACAGGGGAUAUAACUAAUAUAUUCAGCCUAGGUGUGUCACGCCCUGGUCUAAGUAUUUUGUGUUUUUCUUCAUGUAUUGGGUCAGGCCAGGGUGUUGGUGUGUAUGUAUUGGGAUUGUAGCUAGUGGGGUUAUCUAGCAAGGUCUAUGGCUGUCUGGAGUGGUUCUCAAUCAGAGGCAGGUGUUUAUCGUUGUCUCUGAUUGGGAACCAUAUUUAGGCAGCCAUAUUCUUUGAGUUUGUCGUGGGUGAUUGUCCUUAGUGUCGUUGUUCCUAUCUCUUUAUUUUAUUUACACAAGUAUAGGAUGUUUCGGUUUUCGUUACGUUCUUUGUUUUGUAGUGUUUUGUGUUUAUUCGUGUUUCACGUUGUUCAUUAAACAUGGAUCGCAAUCUACACGCUGCAUUUUGGUCCGACUAUCCUUCACACCUAGAAAACCGUAACAGAAUCACCCACCACCAACGGACCAAGCAGCGUGUCAACAGGCAGGAGCAGCCCAAAGAGGAGAUGCGCUAUAAGGAUUUCUGGACAUGGGAGGAAAUCCUAAACGGAGAAGGACCCUGGGAUCAGCCUGGAGAAUAUCGCCGCCCCAAAGAAGAACUGGAGGCGGCGAAAGCGGAGAGGUGCCGGUAUGAAGAGGCAGCACGGCGACUCGGAAGAAAGCCUGAGAGUCAGCCCCAAAAAUGUAUUGGGGGGGGGGACCUGAGGAGUCAGACCUGAGCCAACUCUCCCUGUUUAUCGUGAGGAGCCAAGGAGGAGACCAGAACCAGAGCUGGUGUUGGAGGUGAGCGAAACAGAGACUGUGAAGGAGUUAAUGGGGAAAUUGGAGGAGAGAGAAAUGAGGGAGUUGCUGUGUUGGUGCUUUUUGCAUGGAAUUCGCCCGACGGAACGUGUCGGGGAUUUGAUGGCACCUGGGUUAGCGCUCCAUACUCGUCCUGAGGUGCGUGUUAGUCGGCUGGUGAAGUUGGUGCCAGCCUCACGCACCAGGCCUCCUGUGCACAUCCCUAGCCUUGCACGUCCUGUGCCAGCACUGCUCUCAAGAUCUCCAGUACGCUUUCACGGUCUAGCCCAUCCUGUGCCACCUCCACACUCCAGUCCUCCGGUAGCAGCUCCCCGCACCAGGCUUCCUGUGCGUGUUGGCAGCCAGAGCUGUCAGUCUGCAUGGAGCAGCCAGAGCUGCCAGUCUGCAAGGAGCUGCCAGUCUGCACGGAGCUGCCAGUCUGCACGGAGCUGCCAGUCUGCACGGAGCUGCCAGUCUGUAAGGAGCUGCCAGUCUGUAAGGAGCUGCCAGUCUGCAAGGAGCUGCCAGUCUGCACGGAGCCGCCAGAGCUGCCAGUCUGUAAGAAGCCGCCAGAGCUGUCAGCCUACAUGGAGCAGCCAGAGCCGCCAGUCAGCAUGGAGCAGCCAGAUCUUUCAGUCUGCCAGGAUCCGCCAGUCGGCCAGACUCUUCCAGAUCUGCCAGUCAGCCAGACUCUUCCAGAUCUGCCAGUCAGCCAGACUCUUCCAGAUCUGCCAGUCAGCCAGACUCUUCCAGAUCUGCCAGUCAGCCAGACUCUUCCAGAUCUGCCAGUCAACCAGACUCUUCCAGAUCCGCCAGUCAACCAGACUCUUCCAGAUCCGCCAGUCAGCCGGGAUCUGCCAGAACUGCCAGUCGGCCAGGAUCCGCCAGUCGGCCAGGAUCCGCCAGAUCCGCCAGUCAACCAGGAUCUGCCAGUCAGCCAGGAUCUGCCAGUC